Molecule: unclassified non-coding RNA, 91 nt
Filed under: Human betaherpesvirus 6B
Lineage: Duplodnaviria; Heunggongvirae; Peploviricota; Herviviricetes; Herpesvirales; Orthoherpesviridae
Source: RNAcentral
AUAUGGAAUUUACGUCUACUCGAACGUUGACCUGUUGUAGCUUCAAGAUCUGCAGAAGAAGUGAUCAAGAACAACGCUCUAAGGUCAUGUA